AGCAGCCGCGGUAAUUCCAGCUCCAAUAGCGUAUAUUAAAGUUGUUGCAGUUAAAAAGCUCGUAGUUGAAUUUCGGGACUAAUAUGUCGGUCGUACUUUGUACGUACUAGCAUUAUUGGUUUCUCCCUUCUGACGAACCACGAUGUCAUUAAUUUGGUGUCAUGGGAAAUCAGGACUGUUACUUUGAAAAAAUUAGAGUGUUUAAAGCAAGCUCGCGCUUGAAUACAUUAGCAUGGAAUAAUGAAAUAGGACGUUUGAUUCUAUUUUGUUGGUUUCUAGGAUCGACGUAAUGAUUAAUAGGGAUAGUUGGGGGCAUUAGUAUUUAAUUGUCAGAGGUGAAAUUCUUGGAUUUAUUGAAGACUAACUACUGCGAAAGCAUUUGCCAAGGAUGUUUUCAUUAAUCAAGAACGAAAGUUAGGGGAUCGAAGACGAUCAGAUACCGUCGUAGUCUUAACCAUAAACUAUGCCGACUAGGGAUCGGAUGAUGUUAAUUUUUAAUGACUCAUUCGGCGCCUUACGG
Molecule: ribosomal RNA, 520 nt
Filed under: uncultured Glomus
Lineage: Eukaryota; Fungi; Glomeromycota; Glomeromycetes; Glomerales; Glomeraceae
Description: SSU rRNA
Rfam family: Eukaryotic small subunit ribosomal RNA
Source: RNAcentral